UACGAAGGGGGCUAGCGUUGCUCGGAAUCACUGGGCGUAAAGGGUGCGUAGGCGGGUCUUUAAGUCAGGGGUGAAAUCCCGGAGCUCAACUCCGGAACUGCCUUUGAUACUGGGGAUCUUGGAGUCCGGGAGAGGUGAGUGGAACUGCGAGUGUAGAGGUGAAAUUCGUAGAUAUUCGCAAGAACACCAGUGGCGAAGGCGGCUCACUGGCCCGGUACUGACGCUGAGGUGCGAAAGCGUGGGGAGCAAACAGG
Molecule: ribosomal RNA, 254 nt
Filed under: uncultured bacterium
Lineage: Bacteria
Description: partial 16S ribosomal RNA
Rfam family: Bacterial small subunit ribosomal RNA
Source: RNAcentral